Molecule: ribosomal RNA, 124 nt
Filed under: Octodon degus (degu)
Lineage: Eukaryota; Metazoa; Chordata; Mammalia; Rodentia; Octodontidae
Source: RNAcentral
GUCUAUGGUCAUACCACCCUGAAUGUGCCCGAUCUUCUUUAAUCUCAGAAGCUAAGCAGGGUCCGGACUGGUUAGUACUGGAAUGGGAAAAAUUGGCUUUGGGGAUAACACGGUGGCCUGGAAC